Molecule: ribosomal RNA, 403 nt
Filed under: uncultured bacterium
Lineage: Bacteria
Description: bacterial SSU rRNA
Rfam family: Bacterial small subunit ribosomal RNA
Source: RNAcentral
GGGGAAUAUUGGACAAUGGGGGCAACCCUGAUCCAGCCAUGCCGCGUGAGUGAAGAAGGCCCUAGGGUUGUAAAGCUCUUUCAGAUGUGAGGAUGAUGACAGUAGCAUCAGAAGAAGCACCGGCUAACUUCGUGCCAGCAGCCGCGGUAAUACGAAGGGUGCUAGCGUUGUUCGGAAUUACUGGGCGUAAAGGGCGUGUAGGCGGAUGAUCAAGCUAGGGGUGAAAGCCCAGGGCCCAACCCUGGAACUGCCUUUAGAACUGAUUGUCUAGAAUCCGUAAGGGGAGUGUGGAAUUCCUAGUGUAGAGGUGAAAUUCGUAGAUAUUAGGAAGAACACCAGUGGCGAAGGCGGCACUCUGGUACGGUAUUGACGCUGAGGCGCGAAAGCGUGGGGAGCAAACAGG